GAUGAACGCUGGCGGCGUGCUUAACACAUGCAAGUCGAACGGAAAGGCCCAAGCUUGCUUGGGUACUCGAGUGGCGAACGGGUGAGUAACACGUGGGUGAUCUGCCCUGCACUUCGGGAUAAGCCUGGGAAACUGGGUCUAAUACCGGAUAGGACGAUGGUUUGGAUGCCAUUGUGGAAAGUUUUUUCGGUGUGGGAUGAGCUCGCGGCCUAUCAGCUUGUUGGUGGGGUAAUGGCCUACCAAUGCGUCGACGGGUAGCCGGCCUGAGAGGGUGUACGGCCACAUUGGGACUGAGAUACGGCCCAGACUCCUACGGGAGGCAGCAGUGGGGAAUAUUGCACAAUGGGCGCAAGCCUGAUGCAGCGACGCCGCGUGGGGGAUGACGGCCUUCGGGUUGUAAACUCCUUUCGCUAGGGACGAAGCGUUUUUGUGACGGUACCUGGAGAAGAAGCACCGGCUAACUACGUG
RNAcentral lists this ribosomal RNA (468 nucleotides) under uncultured bacterium. RNAcentral's name for it is "partial 16S ribosomal RNA". It matches the Rfam family "Bacterial small subunit ribosomal RNA", at positions 28 to 507 of the family's 1533-position model. The record is from RNAcentral.